Molecule: ribosomal RNA, 270 nt
Filed under: uncultured archaeon
Lineage: Archaea
Description: partial 16S ribosomal RNA
Rfam family: Archaeal small subunit ribosomal RNA
Source: RNAcentral
CAGCCCCUCGAGUGGUGGGGAUGAUUAUUGGGCCUAAAGCGUCCGUAGCCUGCCGUGUAAGUUUCCCGUUAAAUCCAGCGUCUUAAGCGUUGGACCGCGGGAAAUACUGUACGGCUAGAGAGUGGGAGAGGUCAGCGGUAUUCUGGGGGUAGGGGCGAAAUCCUUUGAUCCCCGGAGGACCACCAGUGGCGAAGGCUGCUGACUAGAACACGUCUGACGGUCAGGGACGAAAGCUGGGGUAGCGAACCGGAUUAGAGACCCGAGUAGUCC